GAUGAACGCUGGCUGUGUGCCUAAUACAUGCAUGUCGAGCGGAAGUAGCAAUACUUCAGCGGCGAAUGGGUGAGUAACACGUGCUUAAUCUACCUCUUAGAUUGGAAUACCUAAUGGAAACAUUGGUUAAUGCCGGAUACGCAUGGAGUCGCAUGACUCCGUUGUGAAAGGGGCCUUUAAAGCUCCACUAAGAGAUGAGGGUGCGGAACAUUAGCUAGUUGGUGAGGUAACGGCCCACCAAGGCUAUGAUGUUUAGCCGGGUCGAGAGACUGAACGGCCACAUUGGGACUGAGAUACGGCCCAAACUCCUACGGGAGGCAGCAGUAGGGAAUAUUCCACAAUGAGCGAAAGCUUGAUGGAGCGACACAGCGUGCACGAUGAAGGUCUUAUAGAUUGUAAAGUGCUGUUGCAAGGGAAGAAAAAGUAGUUGAGGAAAUGCUUCUACAUUGACGGUACCUUGUUAGAAAGCGAUGGCUAACUAUGUGCCAGCAGCCGCGGUAAUACAUAGGUCGCAAGCGUUAUCCGGAAUUAUUGGGCGUAAAGCGUUCGUAGGCUGUUUAUUAAGUCUGGAGUCAAAUCCCAGGGCUCAACCCUGGCUCGCUUUGGAUACUGGUAAACUAGAGUUGGAUAGAGGUAAGCGGAAUUCCAUGUGAAGCGGUGAAAUGCGUAGAUAUAUGGAAGAACACCAAAGGCGAAGGCAGCUUACUGGGUUUAUACUGACGCUGAGGAACGAAAGCGUGGGGAGCAAACAGG
RNAcentral lists this ribosomal RNA (753 nucleotides) under uncultured Mycoplasma sp. RNAcentral's name for it is "bacterial SSU rRNA". It matches the Rfam family "Bacterial small subunit ribosomal RNA", at positions 28 to 776 of the family's 1533-position model. The record is from RNAcentral. Lineage: Bacteria; Bacillati; Mycoplasmatota; Mollicutes; Mycoplasmatales; Mycoplasmataceae.